RNAcentral lists this long non-coding RNA (2386 nucleotides) under Gouania willdenowi (blunt-snouted clingfish). Its description in RNAcentral is "lncRNA (ENSGWIG00000024639.1)". The record is from RNAcentral. Lineage: Eukaryota; Metazoa; Chordata; Actinopteri; Blenniiformes; Gobiesocidae.
UAGUCACCUUCUCCUGUGUACAAAAAACAAUAAAGUGACCUUCAUACUCAGGGUUUCUUGUGAGCUUUAGAUCUAAUAUAAAUCAAGAAACAAACAGUCACUAGUGUGUGUGUGUGUGUAUUUGUUUGUGUGUGUGUGUGUGUGUGUGUGUGUGUGUGUGUGUGUGUGUGUGUGUGUGUGUGUGUGUGUGUGUGUGUGUGUGUGUGUGUGUGUGUGUGUGUGUGUGUGUGCGUGCUCUGGAGGCGGAGAAUGAGCUGCUGAUCUCUGACCUGUCAGUGGGAGGAGUGAACGGGUCUUUAAAGCAGGUCCUCUCCGGGCCUCCGUAGACGUGGGCCUCUGUAGCAGCUGCUGUGUAGGAAGUGAACUGGGAGCCUCUUACAUAAAAGCCAACGCUGAUCACACGCUGUGUCAAAGAUGCUGUCAGCCACGCUGGAUGCCAGCGGCUCUCCGAAGAAACGGGUGUUAUCUCGGGGACUCAGUGAGGACGAGUCUCUGCGCAGCAUCAUUUCCGAGUCUGAGAGUUCUUCUAGACGUCUAAUACGCAGCGACAGCCGAGCGAGCACCCAGAAGAAGAGGACUGACAGCCAGUCUGAGCAGGACUUCUUCAUGGGACUUCCAGAAAUGGUGGAGCUGCAGGCCAGCUACGAUGAGGUAGUGCAAGAGCUGCGUGGGCUGGAGGUGGAGCGAGAGACUCUGUUGUUCCAGGUGGACGUCCUGCAGGACACGUUGGAGGGUGUGGAGGAGCUGCUGGCUGAGGCCCAGAGGGAAGCUGGACACGCGUCUCUGGAACUGGAAAGGGAGAGGGAGGCAAAGAAAAAAUUGGAGAGCAUUGUUUCCUCUUUGAUGCAAGAAGUAGAGAGAUUAAAAGAGGAAAGAAAUACAGGACCACCUGCUCCAGCAAACGAGACGAAUGAAGCAGUGAGUCGAGGGCACCAAACAACAAACACCAUGGGAUUGAUUAGAGUUGUACACGGGGAAGAAACCAGCUCCUUGCUGUGUGAGCCUCGCAACAGUGGGGGUCUGGCAGCUGCAGAGAAGGGGGGGCAGGGUGAAGGGUCAAAGGAUAUGGGAAGUGCCCCAACUGAGCUGUGGAAGCCUCUGGGACACCUGCCCUCCCUCGCUCUGGAAACGGCAGCCUUUGUAGACGGGGUCUUUCAGAGACCUUACGAGGACGAACCAGAGCUCUCUGCUGACACCAACGACUCUGACAGCAUAAGUGCCUACGAGGAUGCAUCUGCUGAGACUCCAGAGCAGGACGUCGUCUUCCCUGGAGAUGAAGAUGUCGCUGAUUCAGAGAUUAAAGGAAUGAACAGAAAUGGAAACCCACAAACCAAUGGCGGUGAGAACCAGGAGCCCAAAAACCCAGAUGCCUGCAUUGUGUCUUAACUUUGUGUUUUCUAUCCACUGCUGUUCAAAAGGGUAUGUUUAUCAUCUGAUGAUAGACCAACUCAAAUAUUCUGGGUUACAUAGGAGUCUAAGCUCUGGUGUGCAGGUUUACAGCCGUCAGUUUGUUUGUGCACAUUUUUAAUAGCAAAAUCUCAACAUACCUUUUCCAGUGAAACAACUUCUUGUUUUUUUCCCAGUUUAAUUUAUUUAGUAUUAGAUGUUUGAAACCUUCCUCAGUUGUGCAACACUGCUGUAGAAGAUGUCAAAUCUUCACAACUUUGAAACUUGCGAUGAAGAUGCUGUAGUUACAUCUAAUAUCUUCAUUUAUUGAAGACAAACAUUUUUUUUUUCUUCAAUUAAAAAUGAGGAAGCCUGUUUUUUUUUGUUUUUGUUUGAUAGUUAUAUAUGUUGGUAGCUGCUGAAAUGUAAGUUAGAAUUGAUUUGCAUCCCGGACAGAGAGCUCUUUAUGGGACUUGAGUGCAAACAAAUUUGACUUCUGGUUCAUUGGUUAAUUUUUUUCUGAGCAAAUGUCAAAAUCAUUCCAUAGGGCGUCUGUCUCUCCUGUCACUGCAGAGAAAACGUUCAAUCUUUGUGUGAACCUAAAGGGAGGCAUGUUUGCAUUUGAAAAGAGGGAUUUUAUCGAUUUUGAUCUAAAUAACAGACGACUGCAGUCUGUCUCACUAGUUCAGUUUUUUUUUUUUUUUUUAAAUCUCGUCAGUUUAAAAAAAAAAAGAAAUUGAAACGUGUGCUGUUACAUUUGCACUUUUUAAAAUUCGAUCUCAUAAUUGCCUGGAUUCCCUUUACAACCAGAGUGUGUUACCUGGGCUGCCUCAGCCCGCUCGCUGAUAACUGUAUGUUUGCACAUUUGCAGAGUAACUUAAGGAAGUGUCUUUGUUUCUGUAAGCAAUUUAUAUCCAAACACUUUUUAUUGUGUAUUUUAUUGUAGGCGAUGGUGGACUUUUUUCACCUGAUUUGAUAUUACUUGCAUGAGCACCUAAGA